Molecule: ribosomal RNA, 348 nt
Filed under: uncultured Anaerolineaceae bacterium
Lineage: Bacteria; Bacillati; Chloroflexota; Anaerolineae; Anaerolineales; Anaerolineaceae
Description: bacterial SSU rRNA
Rfam family: Bacterial small subunit ribosomal RNA
Source: RNAcentral
UUCGGGAGCCAUUACAGGUGUUGCAUGGCUGUCGUCAGCUCGUGUCGUGAGAUGUUCGGUUAAGUCCGCUAACGAGCGCAACCCUCGCUGUGUGUUAUAUGUGUCACACAGGACUGCUGGUAUUAAGCCGGAGGAAGGUGGGGACGACGUCAAGUCAGCAUGACCUUUAUAUCCAGGGCUACACACACGCUACAAUGGUCAGUACAAUGGGUUGCCAAGCCGCGAGGCGGAGCCAAUCCUAAAAAGCUGGCCUCAGUUCAGAUUGCAGUCUGAAACUCGACUGCAUGAAGUCGGAGUUGCUAGUAAACGCAGGUCAGCUAUACUGCGUUGAAUACGUUCCCGGGGCUU